Molecule: ribosomal RNA, 659 nt
Filed under: uncultured Alphaproteobacteria bacterium
Lineage: Bacteria; Pseudomonadati; Pseudomonadota; Alphaproteobacteria
Description: bacterial SSU rRNA
Rfam family: Bacterial small subunit ribosomal RNA
Source: RNAcentral
AGCGAACGCUGGCGGCAGGCUUAACACAUGCAAGUCGAACGGGCUUCUUCGGAAGUCAGUGGCAGACGGGUGAGUAACACGUGGGAACGUGCCCUUCGGUUCGGAAUAACUCAGGGAAACUGAGCUAAUACCGGAUACGCCCUUAUGGGGAAAGGUUUACUGCCGAAGGAUCGGCCCGCGUCUGAUUAGCUUGUUGGUGGGGUAACGGCCUACCAAGGCGACGAUCAGUAGCUGGUCUGAGAGGAUGAUCAGCCACACUGGGACUGAGACACGGCCCAGACUCCUACGGGAGGCAGCAGUGGGGAAUAUUGGACAAUGGGCGCAAGCCUGAUCCAGCCAUGCCGCGUGAGUGAUGAAGGCCUUAGGGUUGUAAAGCUCUUUUGUCCGGGACGAUAAUGACGGUACCGGAAGAAUAAGCCCCGGCUAACUUCGUGCCAGCAGCCGCGGUAAUACGAAGGGGGCUAGCGUUGCUCGGAAUCACUGGGCGUAAAGGGCGCGUAGGCGGCCGAUUAAGUCGGGGGUGAAAGCCUGUGGCUCAACCACAGAAUUGCCUUCGAUACUGGUUGGCUUGAGACCGGAAGAGGACAGCGGAACUGCGAGUGUAGAGGUGAAAUUCGUAGAUAUUCGCAAGAACACCAGUGGCGAAGGCGGCUGUCUGG